Molecule: ribosomal RNA, 253 nt
Filed under: uncultured bacterium
Lineage: Bacteria
Description: partial 16S ribosomal RNA
Rfam family: Bacterial small subunit ribosomal RNA
Source: RNAcentral
UACGGAGUGGGCUAGCGUUGUUCGGAAUUACUGGGCGUAAAGCGCACGUAGGCGGCUUUGUAAGUUAGAGGUGAAAGCCCGGGGCUCAACUCCGGAAUUGCCUUUAAGACUGCAUCGCUAGAAUUGUGGAGAGGUAAGUGGAAUUCCGAGUGUAGAGGUGAAAUUCGUAGAUAUUCGGAAGAACACCAGUGGCGAAGGCGACUUACUGGACACAUAUUGACGCUGAGGUGCGAAAGCGUGGGGAGCAAACAGG